This 497-nucleotide ribosomal RNA is filed under the name uncultured bacterium. RNAcentral describes it as "partial 16S ribosomal RNA". It matches the Rfam family "Bacterial small subunit ribosomal RNA", at positions 28 to 507 of the family's 1533-position model. The record is from RNAcentral.
GACGAACGCUGGCGGCGUGCCUAAUACAUGCAAGUAGAACGCUGAAGAGAGGAGCUUACUCUUCUUGGAUGAGUUGCGAACGGGUGAGUAACGCGUAGGUAACCUGCCUUGUAGCGGGGGAUAACUAUUGGAAACGAUAGCUAAUACCGCAUAACAAUGGAUGACGCAUGUCAUUUAUUUGAAAGGGGCAAUUGCUCCACUACAAGAUGGACCUGCGUUGUAUUAGCUAGUAGGUGAGGUAAUGGCUCACCUAGGCGACGAUACAUAGCCGACCUGAGAGGGUGAUCGGCCACACUGGGACUGAGACACGGCCCAGACUCCUACGGGAGGCAGCAGUAGGGAAUCUUCGGCAAUGGGGGCAACCCUGACCGAGCAACGCCGCGUGAGGGAAGAAGGUUUUCGGAUCGUAAAGCUCUGUUGUAAGUCAAGAACGGGUGUGAGAGUGGAAAGUUCACACUGUGACGGUAGCUUACCAGAAAGGGACGGCUAACUACGUG